This 468-nucleotide ribosomal RNA is filed under the name uncultured bacterium. RNAcentral's name for it is "partial 16S ribosomal RNA". It matches the Rfam family "Bacterial small subunit ribosomal RNA", at positions 28 to 507 of the family's 1533-position model. The record is from RNAcentral.
GACGAACGCUGGCGGCGUGCUUAACACAUGCAAGUCGAACGGAAAGGCCCUGCUUUUGUGGGGUGCUCGAGUGGCGAACGGGUGAGUAACACGUGAGUAACCUACCCUUGACUUUGGGAUAACUUCAGGAAACUGGGGCUAAUACCGGAUAGGAGCUCCUGCUGCAUGGUGGGGGUUGGAAAGUUUCGGCGGUUGGGGAUGGACUCGCGGCUUAUCAGCUUGUUGGUGGGGUAGUGGCUUACCAAGGCUUUGACGGGUAGCCGGCCUGAGAGGGUGACCGGCCACAUUGGGACUGAGGUACGGCCCAGACUCCUACGGGAGGCAGCAGUGGGGAAUAUUGCACAAUUGGCGGAAGCCUUAUGAAGCAACGCCGCGUGCGGGAUGACGGCCUUCGGGUUGUAAACCGCUUUCGCCUGUGACGAAGCGUGAGUGACGGUAAUGGGUAAAGAAGCACCGGCUAACUACGUG